GUUUGAUCCUGGCUCAGAUUGAACGCUGGCGGCAGGCCUAACACAUGCAAGUCGAACGGUAACAGGAAGAAGCUUGCUUCUUUGCUGACGAGUGGCGGACGGGUGAGUAAUGUCUGGGAAACUGCCUGAUGGAGGGGGAUAACUACUGGAAACGGUAGCUAAUACCGCAUAACGUCGCAAGACCAAAAAAGGGGGGACCCUUCGGGGCCUCUUGCCAUCGGAUGUGCCCAGAUGGGAUUAGCUAGUAGGUGGGGUAACGGCUCACCUAGGCGACGAUCCCUAGCUGGUCUGAGAGGAUGACCAGCCACACUGGAACUGAGACACGGUCCAGACUCCUACGGGAGGCAGCAGUGAGGAAUAUUGCACAAUGGGCGCAAGCCUGAUGCAGCCAUGCCGCGUGUAUGAAGAAGGCCUUCGGGUUGUAAAGUACUUUCAGCGGGGAGGAAGGGAGUAAAGUUAAUACCUUUGCUCAUUGACGUUACCCGCAGAAGAAGCACCGGCUAACUCCGUG
Molecule: ribosomal RNA, 511 nt
Filed under: uncultured bacterium
Lineage: Bacteria
Description: bacterial SSU rRNA
Rfam family: Bacterial small subunit ribosomal RNA
Source: RNAcentral